AUUGAACGCUGGCGGCAUGCCUUACACAUGCAAGUCGAACGGCAGCACGGGGCAACCUGGUGGCGAGUGGCGAACGGGUGAGUAAUGCAUCGGAACGUGCCAUUGAGUGGGGGAUAACGUAGCGAAAGUUGCGCUAAUACCGCAUAUUCUGUGAGCAGGAAAGCAGGGGACCGCAAGGCCUUGCGCUCUUUGAGCGGCCGAUGUCAGAUUAGCUAGUUGGUGAGGUAACGGCUUACCAAGGCGACGAUCUGUAGCGGGUCUGAGAGGAUGAUCCGCCACACUGGAACUGAGACACGGUCCAGACUCCUACGGGAGGCAGCAUGGGGAAUUUUGGACAAUGGGCGCAAGCCUGAUCCAGCCAUGCCGCGUGAGUGAAGAAGGCCUCGG
This 387-nucleotide ribosomal RNA is filed under the name uncultured bacterium. RNAcentral's name for it is "bacterial SSU rRNA". It matches the Rfam family "Bacterial small subunit ribosomal RNA", at positions 30 to 420 of the family's 1533-position model. The record is from RNAcentral.